GUUGGGUGAGUCAUGAUAAACCUCAUAAUAUUCUCAGAAAGAAACUGAAUAAUCUUCGAUUCUGACUUUUCAUAUAUAUUAUAAUUCUCUUUGAUUCUGACAGUAGAAUAUUUCCAUAUUAUAUAACUAUGUUUACUAUUAAUUUACACUGUUAUGAUACUCUUACAAUAAUAUUUUAAUGACUCACACCGCAGCGUUGGUUCUAGCUAUUUGUUUGUUGUUAAACGAAGUGCAUUUCUUACAAGGCAAUGUAUUGAAGAAUAAGUAUUUUCCAUCGAAUCUAGUAUACCUUAUAGGUGUAUGUUUGGUAUUAGAGAAAGUGUCUUUUGUACCGAAGGUUUUGAAGAGAAGAUUUCCUCUACUAUGCAUAUUGCUAGAGGUACCGCUUUCUAUACUAAUUCUAGAAGCUUCUCUCCUCUACACCUGGUCGUAUAUCCAAGACUACACACUCCUUAACGCUGAUGAUCUCCUGGUAGAACUGGCGAAAGAAGAGUCCCUUGAAUGGCUUAUCUGUCACAUGUGUUGCGGAUGGACAGAC
Molecule: long non-coding RNA, 538 nt
Organism: Manduca sexta (tobacco hornworm)
Lineage: Eukaryota; Metazoa; Arthropoda; Insecta; Lepidoptera; Sphingidae
Exons: 3
Source: RefSeq, a predicted model, not a curated record